UGCGGUGCGCGGCGGUCGCUGGCACACCAGACGAGCGCAGACGGCAGCAGACAGCACUUGAGCGCCGCCGCUCUGGUGAAGUGGAGGGCGCAGCGGACAGUAAAGCACCUGCUGGAGAGACAGGAGACCGAGUGUGGUGUGACAGAGGCAGCAGCAGCAGCAGCAGCAGCACAACAGCUGCCGGAGACAGGAUGAGGAAGAUAUCCCCAGGAAGCAGCUCCGUGACAGCUGUCUAACUCCCAGUCGGGUUCUCGACCCACAAUCGGGAAUUCCAGGUUCGAAUCUCGGGCGAGUCCUAUCACCUAAUGCAACUGUUCAUCUAACAGUAAGUAGAUACCCAGUAAUUAGUCAUCUUGUUGUGUGAUUGUAUCCUGGGAAGGGUCAGUAGUUCGUCCUCAGCUGCGACC
Non-coding RNA from Procambarus clarkii (red swamp crayfish), 407 nucleotides. The record is from RefSeq and is a predicted model, not a curated record. Lineage: Eukaryota; Metazoa; Arthropoda; Malacostraca; Decapoda; Cambaridae.